UCCCUGGUGGUCCAGUGGUUAAGACUCUGUACUUCCAAUGCAGAAGGACCAAGUUUGAUCCCUGGUUGAGGUU
RNAcentral lists this transfer RNA (73 nucleotides) under Ovis aries (sheep). It matches the Rfam family "tRNA". Rfam says of the family: Transfer RNA (tRNA) molecules are approximately 80 nucleotides in length. Their secondary structure includes four short double-helical elements and three loops (D, anti-codon, and T loops). Lineage: Eukaryota; Metazoa; Chordata; Mammalia; Artiodactyla; Bovidae. The record is from Rfam by way of RNAcentral.